Lysinibacillus xylanilyticus is the source of this 69-nucleotide non-coding RNA. The record is from Rfam. NCBI's taxonomy places the organism in Bacteria, Bacillati, Bacillota, Bacilli, Caryophanales, Bacillaceae.
CAGCGUAGCACAUCCGUUGAAAGAACGCCACGUCCUGUGGCAUUACCGAAAUGACCGACAUCGUGUCGG